This is a long non-coding RNA of Ailuropoda melanoleuca (giant panda), 6430 nucleotides long. RefSeq lists it as uncharacterized. The record is from RefSeq and is a predicted model, not a curated record. NCBI's taxonomy places the organism in Eukaryota, Metazoa, Chordata, Mammalia, Carnivora, Ursidae. The transcript has 3 exons.
UGAAAUCUUUAAAAAAAAAAAAAAGAAAGAAAGAAAGAGAGAAACCUGUCCCUUUCCCAAGAUUGGAAAGACACGGUCCUGUAUUUCCUUUUACAUUUGUAAAGUUUUGUUUUGAACAUUUUAGUGUUUAAUCCAUCUGGAAUUGAUUUUGGGGUGUAAUAUGAGGUAGGACUGUUGCCUUUUUUCCCCAAAGCAUAACCAUGGGAACUGGCACCAUUUAUUAAAUUGUCCCUCGUUUCCUCUCUGACCUGCAGUGUCAUGUGUCAUAGCCAUGUCUCGCUCUCUGGGUUCUUUUAUGUUCCUUUGGUCAGUACCGUACUUUUCUUAGUUAUAAUAGCUGUAUAAUGAGUCCUGAUGCCUUGUAGGGCUAGUAGACUAAUCUUAAACUUCUUUUAAAAUACUUAAUAGUUGUGGUCCAAGAUAGAAAGUCAAGAGGGGCUUUUUUUCUUGAUGGGAGAAUUUGCAGCCCAUGUCCUGGUAAGAAUGAUUCACUUGAGGAAUGAUCACAAAAUGAUAAUGUAGGAAAGAAUUGCCAAAGCAGUGCUCUUCAGAAGACAAGGAGGCAUAAGAUAUAGGGCACAUCUGGAGGGGUUACCUUGGUUCACCCGCUGAAGUGGGAGGGAAGACAGGUAAGUGGGUACUUAGGGUGAGAGCUUGUAAAAGUUCUCAUCUGAUUGCUUCUGCAUUCUUAGGAAGCGAGGUCAGCAUUUGAGAGUGAUAACGGGAAGAAAUGUUGGAAGUUUCGAGAGAGAGGGAAUGGGACAGUCACUUAGAAGAAGAGAAGAGUGAGUAGACUUGGGGAAUGAAGUGGAAUUGCCAGGCAGCAGUGAGGGCUCACUUGAGGUUAGUGGUCAUGACUUAGUGAGAACAGUCGUCGGGAUGGGUGUGUGAUCCUCUCCAGGCGUAUGCAACCGUGCAACCACAGAAAGGCAGAGAAUUGAGUGUACCUGGAGUUGGGGUUUGCUCAGAGUAGAGUGAAGGGGGGUAGAGGCAGGAAAUGGAUUUUGUGCAAGGAAGGGAGCAGUUACAGUGAUGGAUCAUUGAACCCAAAAUAAAUUUGGAAGGGGAAAAAAAGGCAUGAGGAAGGGAGUGAGUCAAAGGAUUUUGAGUAUCAAAGAAUUAUUGGAGGUGGCGUCCUAGCUAAAGAGAGAGAGAGCUGGAGACAAGUGGUGAUGGAAGAGUGCGAUGUUUAAUCAGAUUAUGGAAGAGUUGUGGUGGUUGCUGCUGACCUGCAGAUGUUGCUGGAACUUGAGUGGGACAUUUCACUGGGUGAGUACCAUUCAUGGCACAGUUCCAGACAACCUCCAAGUUCUUAGGACAACCGAAAAUGCUUCCAUAAUUUCGCCCCCCAAAACAGUGACUUAAAACCAUGUUUGCAAAUACAGUUGUACCCCCUUAUCUGCAGGAGAUACAUUCGCAGACCCCCAGUGGAUGCCUGAAACUGUGGGCAGUACGAACCCCAUAUUUACUCUAUUUUUACCUAUAUGUACGUAGCUAUGAUAAAGUUUAAUGUAUAAGUUAGGCACAGUAAGAGGUUAACAACAAUAGCUCAUAAUAAAAUAGAACAACUGUAACAAUAUUCUAUAAUACAAGUAAAGUGAAAGUGACCUCUCUCAAAAUACCUUACUGCGCAGUACUCACCCUUCUUGCUGUGACUGAUGAAUGGAGAUGACAGAAUGCCUACAGGAUGAGAUGAAGUGAGGGGAAUGACAGCCCCUGUGACAUAGGCUACUGUUGACCUUCUGAUGGAAAGGUCAGAAGGAAGAUCGUCUGCUUCCCGAUCAGUUGACCAAAGAAAGUGAAACCGCAGAUCAGUGGGGGACUCCUGUACUCCCAGGGGUUGAGAAUCAGUUGCCUAAGAACUAGCCGUGGGGGAUGAGUGACUGAGGUAGGGUGGAGGACAAGAUCUCUGAAGGAGAGAUAAUCAAGGCACUGAGAGGUCAGAGUUUUGGAAGGACAAUCUACAUGGACAGACUUCCCAUUGGUUAUGAUAUUGAAUGACAGUGGGCCAGAGCUGAACUCUUCAAGGAGUAAGGAGUAACCCACGGGGUCUGGAGGUGACUGCAGGCAGGAGAGGUGGCAGGUCACAGUCUGGAGGUUCAAAGCUGGGAGGAUUGGGUGGUCAGGGGAGAGUACAGGAGAAAGGAGGAACAGCUUACAAACAGGUGGCAAUCAGGAAGGACAGCUUCCCCACCUCCGGACUGGCAGUACAAGAGCCACGGCCGAGCAAAGAGCUACCAUGUGAGGUGAGGGCUGCAGGAGAAGCAGCAGCACAAUCCCCAGAGAGAACCAGGUUUCUGUUAGAACAAGUUAGGGGGCAGAAUAUCCAAGAAAUGCAAGUUGGGAAUAUGGGAGAUUUGCUAGUGGCUGACUGUGAUUUCCUAGGGGCCUAGUGGAAGGAUCAAGGAAUCUAGGUGGGGGUAGGAGAGUUUAAGAGAUGAAGUCAUAAGCUAACAUGGACAAAGCUGACUGGGGGUGAGAAUCUAGAAGGUGACAGAUGCUCAGGAGCCCGUCUGUGGUAACUGCAGUCAGUAUAAGGCCAUAAGGAUGAAAGGCUUGAUAAUUUCCAGGCAGAUGGGUUGAGGUUAUGAGUAUUGGUGAGGGAAGGAGAGAAGUUCUUAUGAGAAAGAAACCCACAGAGUUCUGGGGCCCCCUUGACUUCCAGAGGCUCUCUAACAACAUCCUCACUCCUGACAGUUCAAAGCAUGAGGCAGAAAAGGGCAGGCUUCAGAACACUUGGAGCUUCCCGUCUUGAUUCAUGGGGCUGUGAAGUGGAGGUUACGAAUCUUUAUGACAGGAAUACCGUGCACUGAUUGGCUUGGGCCUGCUGUAUUGUUUAUUGCCAUGUAACAAAUUACCUCAAGACAUAGUGGCUUAAAACAGUAUUUAUUAUCUGGUAUUUUCCUUGGAUCAAGAAUCCAGACAGGCAUAACUUGUGGAGUCCUCCAUCUCUGGUUCUCUCCAAAGCUGCGAUUAAGGUGUUAGCAGGGGCUCAAAUCAUUUUGAAGCUCAGCUGGGGGUUGGUCCUCUUCCAAGCUCACUUAGUAGUUGUUGGCAGGAUUUAGUUCCUCACUAACUUUGGCCAGAGGCCCCUUAGGUUCCUUGACACGUGAGCCUCUCCACCAUGGCAGCUGUCUUCCUCAGAGAGAGAGAGAGAGAGAGAGAGAGAGCGCGCGCUAGCAAGACAGAAGCCAGUCCUUCAUAAUCUAAUCUCAGAAGUGACAUUCCCAUCACUUUUUCCUCAUCCGAUCAUUAGAAGCAAGUCACAAGGUCCAGCCCACGCUCAAGGGGAGGGCAUUACACAGGUUAUGACUAGUAGGAGGCAGGGAUCCCUGGAGACAGAGUUGCCCAUCCCUGAACCAACCACUGAUAACAGAGAGAUUAAAACUGGCUUGGACCAGUCAGUGGUCCCGGAGCUGGAGUCAAGUCCCCAAACCACGAGGAGCAGGGAGGAGCAGAGGAUAGAAGAAAUACUGGGAGGACAGCCACUGGGUUCGCUAUAACUGCUAAGCAGUGUCCAUGCUUUUAUUCUUCCGAGGCUGACCUAUUUUCUUUCUGUAGUAUGGGACUACGUCCUUAUGUCUCCCCAUUGCCCUCAAGAUCAAGUCCAGGAUCCUUACUUCAGCAUGCAGUGGCCUUCAUACUCUGAUCCCAGUUUAUCUGUCCAGCCUCACUUUUAACCAUGUACUCUUGUAUCUUCUAAGCCAGUGUGGUUCAUCAAACUUUUUGGUCUCAGCACCCCUUUAAUACUCUUAUAACUUAUUGAGGGCCCCAAAGAGCUUUUGUGACACCUGUGGAUAUUUAUUUAAUUAGGAAUAAAAACUGAUUUUAAGAUAUUUAUUAACUUGUAAAACAAUACUCAUUUACAUAACACAGUUUUGUGCAAAAUAACUACAUUUUUCCAAAAAUGCUUUGUUUUGAGAAAAAUGACAUUGCUUUACUUUUUUUUUUUUUUUAAGUUUUCAACCUCUACACCCAGCAUGGGGCUCGAGCUCAUGACCCUGAGAUCAAAGAGUCACACACUCUACUGAAAGUGAGCCAGGCGCCCCAUAAUGUUUUGCAUUUAAAAAAAUUUCUUUAAUGUCUGGCUUAAUAGAAGACAUCAGGGUUCUCUCCUGUCUGCUUCUGUGUUCAGUUUCUGGCGAUAUGUUGUUUGGUUGAGGGGUUUGAAGGAAAUGUGGCCUCACAUAGAUAUGUAGUUGGAAAGUGGAGAUACAAGUAUUUUAAUAGUUUCUUCAGAUCAUCGCGGAUGUUCUUCUUUGAUACUACACUAGCUCUGUGUAAGUGGUCGUUUCUAAAGGGUUAGUUGCAGUGUGAACUCUGAACUUUGUGUAUUCUGUUAAUAGAGUCCAUUGGACUGUCUGCCAUUUGAAUAACUUUUACCCAUUUGGAAAAUAUGGGUUCCAUGAGUAAUUUGGGUCUUCCAGAUAUUUCAUUAUCAAGUAUUUUUAAUCACAUUUUUACGUAUCAGGUAUAUUGUGUCAGAAAAAUCCUUAUUGGGAAGUUUUGAUCGUGGAGGAUUAAGUUUUCCAGAAUUCUAAGUUUCACUUAAAAGCUCAAACUUUGUCAUUGACAACAAAUGCUACCAGUUGUCUUCCUUGGUGGUAACAGGCUCGUUUCGCUUAUUUUUGAGAAAGCGUUUGAAUAACCAUAGUUUAUCUGUCAUCAUUUUGUCAAGUGACAAUGGUGCUCCAUGAAAAGAUCCUGUGACUUCUGUCUCAUACUUCUGCUGUGUUCUGGGUAUCCUUCAGCUCUGCGUGCACCCACAGCCUCUUCCUGUGCCUCAGGGGGGAAUGUGCUUGCAUGAGUCCGCCAUUAUCUGAUGGAGGGCGGCAGGCCCGGCAGGCCCGGAGCACGGCCACCAGGCCACCAGCGCAGAAGGCGCCACUUCUGGCUGCUUCCUUGGAGGAGACUUCCAGGCUAGCGCGUGCUCCAAGCACCAUGUCCAGGAUAUGUACCAUUAUGAACUAGCAAGGUAGUUUUUGAUGCAGAGAUGCAAAUAGAGUGAUGAUGGUACGACAAGUGAUCUGUAAUUCACUUUUUAUAAGCACCCAUUUGACAGUACCUUGUUGAAAGACCCAAAAAAAAGACCCCAUGUCCUUAAAGUUGUGGUCAUGUUCUGGUACCACCUUUACCUUUUUUGGAGCAUUAAUUAUAUUCUGAGGCUGCUGUGGGACCAUCUGUCCCAGAAAUGUUCUUCGACACAGUUUGAGUAGUUGUUACUAUGAAUGUUCUGCCAAUGUACACACAGAUUUUAUUGCCAUUCACAUUGAUAUUAAUAAAAAGACAUUGUUAAACAAAUUUCUUUGGUUAACAAUUUUUCAUUGCUUUAAAUGGGUGUCUUCCUCCUUCACAAGGGAGGAAGAAUCCCCCAAAGUCUGUGAGUAUAAUCCUGUCUAGUAUUUUUAUGUGUUAAUAAAUAAUUAGGAAUCACUAGUCACUGCAUUUUGCAGGUUCGCGGAUUUUAAAUGUGAUUUUUAUUAUUUUUUUUUUAAUUGACUUUCUCAUUCUGGUAGGAACAGAGCAGGCUGUAAAAGAAAUGUAUUUCUGCCAUCUUGAGGUUUAGUAACUUUUCCUAUUUGAAGGUCCUGGUAUAAUGUGCACUGCAGAUUUGGACUAUACAUGUGAGACCAUAUCCGCGCAUGAGCACUCAUGAGCUCACAAGCAAGUCCUUUCACUUAGCAAAGGAAAGAAUGGAAGAAAGCUGUUUUAGGAAAAAAUAAUGGGGCCUGAGUUCGCUCUUUCAUUCAUCCCUUGAGAGCAUGGGGAUGGGGGGAGUAAUGUAUUUGGGUUAAUGAUGAAGAAAACAAAAACAGCAAUCCCUCUGAGGAAAUGUAACUGGAUACAAUUUAAAGUAGGACCAGAUUGAAACAGAAUUCUUUUCGGAAACGGAAAUAUUUUGUCACACAGAUGCCAUCUAAAUUUUAAAAGAAAUAUAGACUUCCUUUCUUUUCAUACAUCUUGAUUUUGUUAAAUCUUGUAUUUCUUCGAGCCAUAUGUCCCAAGUAAUUAAGUUAUAAAUAUUAUACAGAAUAAUUUGCUACAUAGCAAGUGCUUUUUAAAUUUGAAGCAGCUUACCUUUCUUUCUGACAUCACAGUCCUCACAAAGAUGGAUUAUCUCAAUUUCUCCAUUGACUUUAUCCCAGCAAUACACAUUGUCCUGAGCUGUACAAGUGCACACUACUGCACUCUGUCCCUGCCAGACAGUAGACAGAGUUUAUUGUUUUGUUUCCCUUUUUUUUUGAUGGAACACUAAAGAUGCCCUAGCACCUCCUUUAGCUUUUUGAACUGAUAGGUAUCAAGCAAAGCCUCACAGGCUGUUCUUGCUAAGUAUUGUUAAUGCUACAGGACAGAUUAAAAUCUCAGAAAAUCCCACUUACUAUAUACUCUAUAGGUACGGAUAGUUUUUAUUGUUAAUAUCCUAAAUCAU